This is a long non-coding RNA of Meriones unguiculatus (Mongolian gerbil), 367 nucleotides long. RefSeq lists it as uncharacterized. The record is from RefSeq and is a predicted model, not a curated record. The transcript is spliced from 3 exons. Lineage: Eukaryota; Metazoa; Chordata; Mammalia; Rodentia; Muridae.
AGCCAGAUCCUCAGCCUUAGCCAAAUGUGGAAUUGUUCAUGACAGAGAGCACUCACCAUCGGGAAGGUGGAAGGCGGAAACCAGCUCCAUCUUUAAGAUGUCUGAUCCUGUGGACCAUGUGGAUUCCUCAGGGGCUCAGGGAUCCUCCUUUCACAGAGAGAAGUCCUGGAGCCAGCUGCCCUGCCACUAGCUUUUUAAGUCUGAGGCACUGGAGAUGGAGCAUAAGACUAACACCUGUAGGCAAGUGCCUGGCGAAUGAGCUCCACUCCCACCACAUCAUUAAAAAACAAAACAACAACAACAACAACAAAAAAAAUCAAUUAACUAUUUUAGCACAAAAAACUUUGAAUUUUGUAGAUAAACAAAA